RNAcentral lists this long non-coding RNA (631 nucleotides) under Vulpes vulpes (red fox). RNAcentral describes it as "lncRNA (ENSVVUG00000022574.1)". The record is from RNAcentral. Lineage: Eukaryota; Metazoa; Chordata; Mammalia; Carnivora; Canidae.
GAAAAAAAGAUUUAUUUUUUAUUUUUUAUGUACUUUUUUUUUUUUUGCCCUCCCUUAGAACAUGUUUUUUUUCCUUAAUCAAAGGAUGACAGGUUCUGCAACCACACCCAGCAAGUCUCUUAAAAAUAUUGAUAAAGCUGUCACUGCAGACACAUUCUCUGGGAUCACCAAAAUAUAAACUCCAGUACCAACAAAACCUGAGUCUAUCCAUGGAAUCGUAGAAAAAGAAUAAUCACAUAAUUGCUGCCAGAUUCCAUCAAAGAACUCUUUAUUCAGGAAAGAUGCUGCCUUGCCCAGCUUAUACUCUUGAGUCUUCUGAUGGUGAAUCAGAGGGCCGGCAGAAACAGGAGGUGUCAGAAGGUGAGAAUGGAAGGUGCCCAAGAAUACAGAGGAAGAGAAGAAUAAGCAUAACAGCCUUGGGGGCACACAGCUCUGUGCUUGGGGGAGUGAAGAUUUGCUAUUUCAGCUUUUGUGGUGGGUGAGGACAAGUGAGUGGAAGUAGAAAAAUAAGGAUCUUAAAAAUUUCUGAGGAAUAUUAUCUACAGUAUUAAGGAAAUACUAUAAGUGACUGAAAUUAUAAUGAAAUUAGCAUGGACUCUAUUUUUGUGACCGUCAGUAUACUAGGACUGAA